Osmerus eperlanus (European smelt) is the source of this 902-nucleotide long non-coding RNA. RefSeq lists it as uncharacterized. The record is from RefSeq and is a predicted model, not a curated record. The transcript is spliced from 2 exons. NCBI's taxonomy places the organism in Eukaryota, Metazoa, Chordata, Actinopteri, Osmeriformes, Osmeridae.
AACUGCUUUUCCGUUCUCCCCAUAUCAACACCACUCCAUGGUACUCCAGCAUCUGAGCAAAACAGGUGGAAAAGAGGAAGAUUAGAGAGCUGGGGGAACGGGCAGGAUGGUGGAAUUCUGGUGCGGCUCUACCCAGGAAGUGUAAUGAUGAACUUCCUCCAACCACACCUACCCAGACGCCGCUGUGUUCAUACAGUACCUUCCAGUCGAGCACCAGAGACCACGUUCCCAAGAUGGCUGCUCCUACACCCCAAAGAAAGAUGGGGGUCCACCAAACCAGACACAGCAUCAGUAUCUCUCGGCUGUUUAUUAAAGAGCGGUUAGGUUAUGGUUUGCUGAAUUUCACAUCGUACGCGGGAUGUUUAAUUAUUUUAUAUUUCCCCCGCUUGGAUAAGAGCCCAGAGUCUGUGUAUUUUUACUUUUAGGAUUUUAACUGUUGCGAUGACAGUGAAUUGCAGUGCGUGUGGCACCCUUGUGCUGUGUCAGGGUACAGCGUGCCAGUAUGAAUGCUGCUGCUUCACAGUAUAGGUCAAAGUAAACACGCUGAAAUGCUGGUUACAAUGGGUCUCACCUGUAUUCAUUCGUUUAAGUUGGAGGAGUGCAUAAGAAAUAUCUUGACCCGACUGCGCCUCAUUGUCACCAGGAAACAGACAUGCAUUACUGUCACUGCCAGGGUACAAACAUAUCUCCACCUUGAGACUGUUGCCCAGUUGCUAGGCGUUAGACACAUACAUUUUAGCACAUUAAUCAUGGGUGUCAAUCCGGGCCAUAGAGCCUGGCUGCAGUGUGGGAAAGUAACACCAACUGGAUGUGAUGUUAAUACCAUGAUACCUUUCAAUAAAGGUGAGUUCUUUACAGUCAACUGAGAAACUUACGUUUUUAAUAAAAUAUAUAUAAAAUGA